GAUGAAGAACGCAGCGAAAUGCGAUAAGUAAUGUGAAUUGCAGAAUCCAGUGAAUCAUCGAAUCUUUGAACGCACAUUGCGCCCGCCAGCAUUCUGGCGGGCAUGCCUGUUCGAGUGUCAUUUCAACCCUCGACCUCCCUUUGGGGAAGUCGGCGUUGGGGACCGGCAGCACACCGCCGGCCCUGAAAUGGAGUGGCGGCCCGUCCGCGGCGACCUCUGCGUAGUAAACCAACUCGCACCGGAACCCCGACGUGGCCACGCCGUAAAACGCCCAACUUCUGAACGUUGACCUCGAAUCAGGUAGGACUACCCGCUGAACUUAAGCAUAUCAAUAAGCGGAGGA
This 343-nucleotide unclassified non-coding RNA is filed under the name soil metagenome. RNAcentral's name for it is "partial contains 5.8S ribosomal RNA, internal transcribed spacer 2, and large subunit ribosomal RNA". The stretch from base 1 to 120 matches the Rfam family "5.8S ribosomal RNA", at positions 35 to 154 of the family's 154-position model. The record is from RNAcentral.